UACGUAGGGUGCAAGCGUUAAUCGGAAUUACUGGGCGUAAAGCGUGCGCAGGCGGUUGUGCAAGACAGAUGUGAAAUCCCCGGGCUUAACCUGGGAAUUGCAUUUGUGACUGCAUGGCUGGAAUGCGGCAGAGGGGGAUGGAAUUCCGCGUGUAGCAGUGAAAUGCGUAGAUAUCAGGAGGAAUACCGAUGGCGAAGGCAGGUCUCUGGGCUGACACUGACGCUCAUGCACGAAAGCGUGGGGGGCAAACAGG
This 253-nucleotide ribosomal RNA is filed under the name uncultured bacterium. RNAcentral describes it as "partial 16S ribosomal RNA". It matches the Rfam family "Bacterial small subunit ribosomal RNA", at positions 524 to 776 of the family's 1533-position model. The record is from RNAcentral.